UACGUAGGGUGCGAGCGUUAAUCGGAAUUACUGGGCGUAAAGCGUGCGCAGGCGGUUUGCUAAGACCGAUGUGAAAUCCCCCGGGCUUAACCUGGGAACUGCAUUGGUGACUGGCAGGCUAGAGUAUGGCAGAGGGGGGGUAGAAUUCCACGUGUAGCAGUGAAAUGCGUAGAGAUGUGGAGGAAUACCGAUGGCGAAGGCAGCCCCCCUGGGCCCAAUACUGACGCUCAUGCACGAAAGCGUGGGGAGCAAACG
This 255-nucleotide ribosomal RNA is filed under the name uncultured bacterium. RNAcentral describes it as "partial 16S ribosomal RNA". It matches the Rfam family "Bacterial small subunit ribosomal RNA", at positions 524 to 774 of the family's 1533-position model. The record is from RNAcentral.